CGGCGACCGGCGCACGGGUGAGUAACACGUAUGCAACCUGCCCCUGUCAGGGGGACAACCCGCCGAAAGGCGGGCUAAACCCGCGUACAUGCCACCGGGGCAUCCCGGAGGCAGGAAAGGCUUCGGCCGGACAGGGAUGGGCAUGCGGCGCAUUAGGCAGUAGGCGGGGUAACGGCCCACCUAACCGACGAUGCGUAGGGGUUCUGAGAGGAAGGUCCCCCACACUGGUACUGAGACACGGACCAGACUCCUACGGAAGGCAGCAG
Molecule: ribosomal RNA, 266 nt
Filed under: uncultured bacterium
Lineage: Bacteria
Description: partial 16S ribosomal RNA
Rfam family: Bacterial small subunit ribosomal RNA
Source: RNAcentral